This 73-nucleotide transfer RNA is filed under the name Camelus bactrianus (Bactrian camel). It matches the Rfam family "tRNA". From Rfam's summary of the family: Transfer RNA (tRNA) molecules are approximately 80 nucleotides in length. Their secondary structure includes four short double-helical elements and three loops (D, anti-codon, and T loops). RNAcentral also lists the same sequence under 2 other names. The record is from Rfam by way of RNAcentral. Lineage: Eukaryota; Metazoa; Chordata; Mammalia; Artiodactyla; Camelidae.
GAGGGUAUAGCUCAAGUGGUAGAGCUCAUGGUUAGCAUGCAUGAGGUCCUGGGUUCAAUCCCCAGUACCUCCU